AGACCCGAAACCCGGUGAUCUAGCCAUGGGCAGGUUGAAGGUUGGGUAACACUAACUGGAGGACCGAACCGACUAAUGUUGAAAAAUUAGCGGAUGACCUGUGGCUGGGGGUGAAAGGCCAAUCAAACCGGGAGAUAGCUGGUUCUCCCCGAAAGCUAUUUAGGUAGCGCCUCGUGAAUUCAUCUCCGGGGGUAGAGCACUGUUUCGGCUAGGGGGCCAUCCCGGCUUACCAACCCGAUGCAAACUGCGAAUACCGGAGAAUGUUAUCACGGGAGACACACGGCGGGUGCUAACGUCCGUCGUGAAGAGGGAAACAACCCAGACCGCCAGCUAAGGUCCCAAAGUCAUGGUUAAGUGGGAAACGAUGUGGGAAGGCCCAGACAGCCAGGAUGUUGGCUUAGAAGCAGCCAUCAUUUAAAGAAAGCGUAAUAGCUCACUGGUCGAGUCGGCCUGCGCGGAAGAUGUAACGGGGCUAAACCAUGCACCGAAGCUGCGGCAGCGAACGUAUCACCCAAGACAACUUUACGGAGUUGACGAUUGACGGAGCGAAGCGACGUCAAAGCGUUCAUUAAAGUCGAGUUGGCUUAGGGAUACGUUCGU
This 600-nucleotide ribosomal RNA is filed under the name Salmonella enterica. Its description in RNAcentral is "partial 23S ribosomal RNA". It matches the Rfam family "Bacterial large subunit ribosomal RNA", at positions 711 to 1243 of the family's 2925-position model. RNAcentral also lists the same sequence under 1 other name. The record is from RNAcentral. Lineage: Bacteria; Pseudomonadati; Pseudomonadota; Gammaproteobacteria; Enterobacterales; Enterobacteriaceae.